Molecule: long non-coding RNA, 3399 nt
Filed under: Sus scrofa (pig)
Lineage: Eukaryota; Metazoa; Chordata; Mammalia; Artiodactyla; Suidae
Description: lncRNA (ENSSSCG00005029392.1)
Source: RNAcentral
GUACCCACAAAAACAAAACAACAAAAAGAGUAAGCAUGCCCUCACUGAAUUCAAACAGCAUGACAAGAGUGACAGAGGCGACUGGAAAGAGAGCCUAUCUAGAGAGGGGACACUCCCACUAGCUCAGUCUGCUUGUCUACUCAGAGAAGUUGCUAAAAAAAUGACAAAGCCUGGGAAGUUUCAGCAAUAAAUUGGAUAUCCAAGUUUUUACUCCCCCCACCUGAGACAUUUUCAGAAUUCAGUUGCUACUUUUUUUUUUGGCUUUUGGUUUUUCAGGCCACACCUGUGGCGUAUGGAGGUUCCCAGUCUAGGGAUUGAAUCCAACCUGCAGCUGCCGUCCUACACCACAGCCACAGCCACGCAGGAUCAGAGCCAUGUCUGCAACCCACACCACAGCUCACGGCAACACCGGAUCCUUAACCCACAGAGCAAGGCCGGGGAUGGAACCUGUGUCCUCAUGGAUCCUGGUCGGGUUUGUUAACCACUGAGCCACGACAGGAACUCCUUGGUUGCUUCUUUGCUCUCUGUACAGGGUAUGUGGUAUGAGGGACCUAUGUGUGCUUUGAUUUCUUUUUCUUACCCCUUUGGUUCUGUAUCCAUUUUUAUUUUCUAUUAAAAAAAUUUAAAAUUGAGAUAUCAUUGACGUUUAACAUUAUGUAAGUUCGAGUACAGUCUGUUGAUGUGAUACAUUACACACUCCAGUAUGGUCAUUGCCAUAGUCCUCGCUAGCAUUCCUAUCACACCAUUUAAUCCUCUGUUCUUUAGAAAUUUUUUAUUUAAUAAUUACAAGACUUUUCAGUUUCUUUUAUAUUUUAUUUAUUUAUUUAUUUAUUUAUUUAUUUAUUGUCUUUUUUGCCAUUUUAUUAGGCCACUCUCGUGGCAUAUGGAGGUUCCCAGGCUAGGGAUUGAAACGGAGCUGUAGCCACCGGCCUACGCCAGAGCCACAGCAACACGGGAUCCGAGCCGCAUCUGCAACCUACACCACAGCUCACGGCAACGCCGGAUCUUUAACCCACAGAGCAAGGCCAGGGAUCGAGCCUGCAACCUCAUGGUUCCUAGUCGGAUUCGUUAACCACUGUGCCACGACGGGAACUCCUUUUAAAGAUAUUUUAAUUGAAAUAUGGUUGAUUUACAAUGUUGUGUUAGUUUCAGGUGUACAGCAAAGUGAUGUAUCUUGAGAGUCUUUUCCAUUAUAGGUUAUUAUAAGUUAUUGAGUAGAGUUGCCUGUGCUAUACAGUAGGUACUUGUUGGUUAUUAAUUUUAUGUAUAGUAAUGUAUAUAUUUUAAUCCCAAACUCCUAAUGCAUCCCUUCCCUGUUUUCCUCUUUCAUAACCAUAGGUUUGUAUUCUCUGUCUGUGAAUCUGUUCUGCUUUGUAAAUGAGUUCAUUUGCAUCAUUUUUUUAGAUUCCACAUUUAAGUGAUAUCAUACAGUAUUUGUCUUUGUCUGACUUACCUCACUUUGCACAAUGCCCUCAGGUUCCAUCCAGGUUGUCAAUAAACAGUAUCUACCCAGCUCCUUCUGUGGCUGGUCUGCACACUGACCUGCUGUUGUUUGUGGGGAUGUCUCCUGCCCUGGCUGCACAGGACACGUCCGUGUCGUCCGAGGCCCCUUCGGAGUUCUUUAAUUCAUUAAUUAAAUUAACAAGAGUCAACCCUCUUUGUGGAGUUGCUCACGCAGCUCUCCACUGACCUGGGUGGAGGAGGUGACAAGGCCAGGACAGAGCCAGCCCACCUCCAAGGUCCUUUCCCUCUUGAUCAGCACCGCUUGUUCAGAGUAGCUAAUUUUUGGGGAGCGAUGAAUAUGAAUUAGCCCUCCUGGCUUACGCGUCUCUCUAGGAAGAGAAGACCCAUUUUGAUAAGAAGCCUGUAUGUGUAACUACUACAUUGAAAUAUUCGGUGAUAGUUCUAGACGUGAUAUUUUCCUGGUGAUUUCUAAAGACCCCAACAGGUAUUUAAUAAGUUUCAAUCAUUCUGGUCACUUUCCCACAAGCUACGUGAAGAAUAUGAAUCAGGCGAGGCUGCCAGGCACAGCUCUUGUCUGGCGGUGAGCUUCACAAUGAGAUGGUUAUUGGAAACGGAGAGGAAGGAGUGGAAAAAAGGUGAAAUGGGAAAUGGGAGUUUUCUGGAUAGGCUAAUCCAAGGUGUGUGGUACUGCACACAUGCAGUCAAGUGUUAAAUUUUUAGAUUCCCCUAGACUGUGUCAACACGAAGGAAAAUCUCUUUAUGUGGUAGCAAUGAUGCCAUGAUGUAUUGUUUGGUGACACACUAAACCCCUGGGGGCUGAUACUCUCAUGGCUUCGAGUGCUGCUUCUCCCUCUGCAGGCGCCGCUCAGCUCCCAGCUCAGAGCUUGUAGCUGAUCAGAGACCGGCAGCAUUAGGCCCCUGGGGCGUAGCUUCUUGUCCAGCCACUAAAUGAACACGUCCACAACCAGCCUUGUUGCCUCUUCCCCCAGCGCAGCAGCUCCUGCUUCCAGUUGCAGGGGUCACAGACGUCACCUUUCCCCUUGCCCACCUUCGGUUUUACAACGUGCCCUCUACCCAAGGAGCCCGUCCCAGUCCUACUUCUAUCCCCCAAGACAAAACUGAGGUCCUUACACUUGCAUUGUUACAUCCACACACACAACUGGGGUGUGUGUGUGUGUGUGUGUGUGUGUGUGUGUCGAUCCUAUCUAGGCUCUAGUGAGUGGACUUAUAUCUUGCAUGCCACUUGCUUUUUGUCCCUAGCUUAUGAUACCUAGCUAAGUGCUAGGCACAGCAGAUAAACAAUACCCAUUACUUAAAUAAACUGUCAUGGAAAUAUGAAGAACCUGUUCAGAGCAACUCAGAAUAUUUAAGAAAAAGAUUAUAUGAGAGAGAUAAUCUCUGUUAAUACAGAUUCUAGAAAAGCUGCUCUUUGCCUAGUUUGGCCCACCCUAGGUAACCAUAUCUCACUUUAACAUAGAUAGCAUAUACUGGCUAUUUUAAUUAAACAAUUUUUUUUUCCUUCUUUUUAUGGCGACACCUGUAGCAUAUGGAAGUUGCCAGGCUAGGAGUCGAAUCAGAGCUGCAGCUGUAGGCCUAUGCCACAACCACAGCAACACCAGGUCUAAGCUGCAUCUGCAACCUAUGCAGAAGCUUGUGGCAAUGCCAGAUCCUUAACCCCCGGAGUGAGGCUGGGAAUUGAUCCUGCAUUCUCAUGGAGACUAUGCUGAGUUCUUAACCUACUGAGCCACAGUGGGAACUGCUCCACUGGCUAUUUUAAAAAGCAUGAAUGGGAGUUCCUACUGUGGCACAAUGGGAUCAGUAACAUUUCUGCAGUGCCAAGGAUGUAGGUUCAAUCCUGGGCCCAGUCAGUGGUUUAAAGCAUUCCUCCCUGUCACAGCUGUUGCUUGGAUCUGAUUCUUGGCCCGGGAACUCCAU